CACUGAUAGAUUGUGAACGGGGAACUCCUGCCUGUAUUUAUGAGAGAUCAAAGCACAAGUAUGACUUUCUGUCCAUGGGCUCUGAUGGACUCUGGUGUGCUUUGCAGGUGUUCUAUGCACAGCUAGAGGAGGCCCAAACGUGUUGGAACUCACACCUGUGGGAUAAUUAAAAAAACCUCCCAACUGUGUUCUCUGCAGAGUUAUGGAUUUCUCUGGAAAGUCUAUGCCUCCUUUCUGUGCACUGACCACCUUGUCUAUAUAAUCCUUAGAGGGUGUACUUUUGAAAGCAUAUUGGUUCUGGACUCCCAAAAAAGCCACACUGCUACAGGCAACAUGCGGAAGCCUGGCAUCUGACUAAUGCUCACCAAGUGUUACAAGGCUUGAGUGGAGGGAAAUAUGCAACCUUGUGACCCUGACUCAGAAUAGCCAAACUCCAUCUGCUCUGAAAUUUUAAAUGGUAAGGAUGCCUCCAUUUCUUACUGGACAUAUUUGGAAUUAAGGACUAUCAAUGACUCCUGUCUUAUUCAUUUUAAGCUGCAAAAUCUUCAUGCAAAAAAUUGGA
Sturnus vulgaris (Common starling) is the source of this 562-nucleotide non-coding RNA. Lineage: Eukaryota; Metazoa; Chordata; Aves; Passeriformes; Sturnidae. The record is from RefSeq and is a predicted model, not a curated record.